This 914-nucleotide long non-coding RNA is filed under the name Homo sapiens (human). RNAcentral describes it as "non-protein coding lnc-EXOSC8-1:3". Lineage: Eukaryota; Metazoa; Chordata; Mammalia; Primates; Hominidae. The record is from RNAcentral.
ACAUUUGCUAAAGUGCUUACAGGUAGAGCAGAUAGUGCUGAUCUGAUGCCUGUUCCAGAAACAUCUGUGCCUGACCUUCAAGCUUGUAUUUAUAAAACAGAACUGAACUAGCUGGUAGCAUUUACUCUGGAAUGAAGGAUGGAACUGAUGGGAUUUUCCAAAAGGAGCAGAAAGUCAGUAGGAGAAAAGUUGGAGCUGUACAUCCUCAAUGAGUUGCUACUUCUGUUAUACACAGAAAAUUAAAAGUUGAAUGAAACCCGCAACUAAGAAAUACCAAGUUCAACUAAAUUAAUAAAAUGUGUGCUGUGGGCUGAAGAUGUAUAUUCUGGCAUUCCUCCUUUCCUCGAAUGUCCUGCCAAGGCAUUUCUGCCUGAAUACACUGAGACCAAGGAUGGCAUAUUAGAAAAAAAUUUCUUUUCCAAGCUAGAUGAAUCACUGCUUCUUCUCUGAAUUUCAGCUCUCCGUGACUAUGGUGGAGAAGCUGUUGACAAAGUGUUGUAUGCAGGGGCCACCUUUGACUCUCUUAUCCUUUUCUUUAUCUCCACCUUAUACUCAUCUAUAGUUCUAUGAACUCUAUCUUCCUCUCCCUAUUGUUGGAAAUUCUGAUUCUGAAUACUAAACCAGAAUUAGACGUGGAAGUCUGGUAAAGAUUAUUACCUUUAUUAUUGCUAAAACUGGGUUGGAAAAUGAAGCCUGAAUUGAUGGUCAAAAUGAGGCUUCCCACUGCUUUACCCAGGUUUGAAUCUCAGGAUUCAUCUGGGGAAACCAUGGUACAGCCUACACUAUGUAGCAGACAGCACAGGGAACAGAAACUCAACUUACACACCUGAGGAGAAAUCCUGAAAACAGGGAUCUCUAAGUAGACAUGGGCCUGCUGACUUGCCUCUGAAAGGCAGUCCCUGGACUCUGACACG